UACGUAGGGUGCAAGCGUUAAUCGGAAUUACUGGGCGUAAAGCGUGCGCAGGCGGUUGUGCAAGACAGAUGUGAAAUCCCCGGGCUUAACCUGGGAACUGCAUUUGUGACUGCACAGCUGGAGUGCGGCAGAGGGGGGGAUGGAAUUCCGCGUGUAGCAGUGAAAUGCGUAGAUAUGCGGAGGAACACCGAUGGCGAAGGCAAUCCCCUGGGCCUGCACUGACGCUCAUGCACGAAAGCGUGGGGAGCAAACAG
RNAcentral lists this ribosomal RNA (254 nucleotides) under uncultured bacterium. RNAcentral describes it as "partial 16S ribosomal RNA". It matches the Rfam family "Bacterial small subunit ribosomal RNA", at positions 524 to 775 of the family's 1533-position model. The record is from RNAcentral.